RNAcentral lists this long non-coding RNA (3901 nucleotides) under Olea europaea subsp. europaea. Lineage: Eukaryota; Viridiplantae; Streptophyta; Magnoliopsida; Lamiales; Oleaceae. The record is from RNAcentral.
GCUUGACAGAACGAUCAUGUAUUUCAGGUGAAACAGCAAUACAUGCAUCGGUAAUGUGUAUAUAUCCUGUUAAUUUACUGAAUUAAUUGAAAGUGCUUAAGAGGCCACAAAGAAAUUAAACUUUUUGUUUUAUAUAUAGUAACAACAUAUUUUUUCUUGAUGAAUUCAUCGUUCUUGUUAUAUGGGGUCAUUGACUGCCAGUAUCGCCGAUCACAUUGCAUGAGUGGGUUUCAUAAAAUUUCCGAAAUAAAUUCUGAAUAAUUUUUUUACGACAGAGAAAUACUCGAAAUGUGAUAGGAAAAAUUGUAUUUUUGCUCAUUGAAACCAAAUAGGAUAUGUUUCUAUAAGCAUGCAGACAGGCUAAAUCCUUCUUUUCAGAGAGCAUGAAAAGUCUAAAAUCACUAGAACAUAGGAGAAAUGCGGUGAUUAAGUUUAAGAUCUACAAGUAUCAGCAAAAUAGAAGUAAAUUUUUUUGUUCAUUCAUAAGUGUCCUGUUUGUGAAUUAGAUUUUUAUGCACCUUCCGAUUCGCAUCAAUAAACUCUCUGUGUACGUGCCCUCUCCCUUUUUUGUUAUUUUUAUUUUUCUCUAUAUGUUGCAGAUUAUGCUAGUGAAAAUGAAUUGGAACAUCUAAGGACUUCGGUAGAUUUUCUGGUGGAACUUUGUGAAACUGUCUCUCCUCUCAGAGUGUGGCUCUUUCUAUUCUUCCUUUAUUGCUCAAUCUUGUUUUUUGUGCAAUAUAAUAAUUUGCACUCCCCUACUUAGUACCAUUAGUUUGGAUAUUUCUCAUGCAUAUGUUGCAGGUUGAGGAGAGUAAUUUUAAGAACUGGUCACACCAGGCCAUUGAUUUCAUUCUUGGUAGGAUAUUUUCUUUUCAGUUGUCCUUUUUGUUUCUAAAAGCAUAAGCUACACUAAAAUUAGGAGCCAUAUCUACCACCAAAUCACAAAUGGUGACACAUAAUCCCUUCUAUAUGGAGAUGAACAGAAGUAUUUAUGUGUAUAACUGCAGUUAUGGUCUUCUUUCUUUCCGUGCUUGGGGGGUAAUUUCUGGACAUUGGGUGGAGUAUACCACUGUCAGUUCUAUGUAUCAUUUCAAAACUCAAAUAUUACCAUCUCCAUCUGCACUGGGGCUGUAGUUAUCUAGAUAAAUUGCUUUAGAUGGAUCUCUCUCCCUGUGCAUAUUUCACUCUUAAAACAUUAUCUUGUAUGGAUUCGAGAAACUAAAGGAUUGUUAAAAGUAAUUAAUCAGACUUCUGUUGUGCUGUUCUAAUUCUUGAAAAGAAUAUGACAUUUGAUUAGUAAAAACAUGCUGUCAAACUCUUCAUUUGAAAAGCUUAUCAAAUAUAAGAUAUUUGUUUUCUGGAAGAACCUUGCUAUACAUACCCAUGUACAAAUAGGAAAAUUCUUUCUGGAAUUCUUGGUCAUUUUCUGUGAAUAUGCUCAUUAUACAUUUUUCUGAAGCUGCAUCGGUUUCUCUAUAAGGGAUCAAGGACUGCAUCAUUAAUUCUUCCUCGCUUCUGUCUCACUCUGUCCAUGGUUUUCUGUUUUGUCUUUUCUUAUUUUAUGUCGUUCCAAAAUAAAAUAUUACCUAUUUCAAUUGUCUUACACUACUAAAUUUGUUUUAUGAAGACACAUUAAAGGCUCUGUCAUCAAUGGGAAUGGAAGAAGUAACUGUUGAAAGCAGUGUGAGCAGCUUAAUCAUGCGUUUGUUGGGAAGAAUGUGUAAUGGGCCACAAGAUGGUAAAUCUUUAGUUAUGUUUCUGCUUAAAUUUUAUGUUUCCAUUACAUUUCUGUCAUAUUAAUUAUGUCGCUAGAUGCAUUGGAUUCCAUAACCUCUCCUAGCAACAUAAUCCAAGAGUUGGGUUUGAAAAAUGCUUUCACUUCAGUUUAUUCGAUCAAUUUGCCUCCAGAUCAUUAUUUCAUCAAUUAAUUUCUUUUCCUGUUGUUUAAAAUUUCUAUUUUCCAGAAUCACACCACUCUCCCAAUAAUGUCCAGUUCUAUGUUCAGCAUUUGCUGCGUAAGCUUGGAAGCAACGCUUACAUUGGCCAACGUGUGAUCCUUUCUGUUUCUCAGAGAGUCUCUGUAACGGCAGAAAGUUUACUCUUCAUGGACCCAUUUGAUGAUUCCUUCCCCAAAAUGCAUAAUUGUAUGUACAUAAUGUAAGAUUUGCUUCAUCAUAUAUAUCGCAUUUGUGAUUAACAUUCAUCAUUGAUUGAAUCUUCAUGUUCUUAGUUUCAUUUUAUAUGACUCUAGAAUAUUCUGAUAGCAUUUGAAUAGUUAGUAGUUGUAUGGAAUCACUUUUCGCUGCAGUAUCUUCACAUUUCCCAAAGCAAUCAAUUUGAUGAGAACCAAUCGACUAUUUGAUUAGUACAUUUUUGUGUAAUAUGACUGUUUGCUUGGAGAAAUAUCUUUCUCAGUGCAUAUGUUUUACAUCUUAUGAAGUAAUCACGUCCUCCUCUUACAUCUACUAGAGUGGAGAACAUUGUGUGAUUCCAUUAAUAAUAAUCUUAUCGCAUAGAUUCUAGCAUUCUUUUUGUCCUAAAUAUUUGGAGCGUUUGAUGUCUAUGAAGCUUGACAGAUUUUCUACAACUUGGGACUCCUGGGUUCAUUGUCUGAAGUUCUGUCACCAAUGGUGUUUGCUUGUUCAUAUAUCGCAAAUUCUCCAGCUAUUAUUUAUCCAUUUGGAAUUUCCUAAAUUACAUGGUUGAAUUUUAAAAUUCAGUCGUUGAAUAGGUAAAAAAAAUUACAACAAUUUGGUUGGUAUCUUAACAUCAUUUUCUGAAAAGCGGGAGAUUUGCAUGUUAACCGCCUUAUUCAGUUGUUUGAGCUGUCAUGGGAGUAUUAUAUGUGUUAUAUUUUAUCUUCAAUACAACGCUAAUGUGUUGGUAAAAUACAAAUUUUAUCAAAAUUUUUUUAAAUUUUUUUCUUUCUUUGGUAAUUUGUUUACAGGCUAUCGCAUGGGGUAGCACUUUUGCAAUUCAUGUCUUCACACUAAUUAUUUUCAGUUUCUUUUGGAUGAUAAAAUAUGUUUGUCAUUCAGUCUCAUAGUGCCUUCACGUGCGUACAAUUUGAUGCAAACACAAAAAAUAAAAAAUAAAAAAAAGGGGAAAAAUUGAGUGACUUAUCAUUUGGCAUUUCUCAGGUUUAUCUUAACACAAUUGUAAUGUAUAUGGCAGGAUCCAGCUUAUUGAGUUUCUGGUUUCGGACAACUUGCUAACUUGGUCAAAGGAUGAAGCCUUCGACUUAAGUACGUGUUUCGCUUUUUUGCGUUGGUUAUUUCCUGAACUCAUUCUCAUGACCGUAUAGUAAUUGCAGCAAUCAUAUUAUUGAUAAUCUGUAUAAGACUACAAGUAAAAUUUGAUUUGGAACCAACUUCUUGCGUCAUUCUUGUUCAUCAAAGUUUUAGUUGUACUAGACAUUGGGUAUCAAAUUAACUUGGUAUGGUGUCACCAUGUAGAGCUUUUGGAAGAAUGGGUGACAUCUCUUUGUCACUCUCGGAAAGUCCUGGAGCUCUUGGAGAGCAGGAAUGCACUAUACAUUCUAUAUAUGGAUCGCAUAAUCGGGGAUUUGAGUAGGCAAUUGGGUCAGGUUUCCUUUCUUCAAAAGCUAAAACCAGAUAUUUUUGCUAAACUGUUUAACUAACUCUUGCAAUAUCUUCAAAUGUAAGUCGACACUUCUUGAGUACCUUUUUGCCUGUGAUGUAUCAUCGUAUUUCUUGUCAGGAAUUUGUGAAGUUUAUUGAAUGUGCAUAACUAAUUUGACUUGAUGAUUUGGGUGAGAUGUAUGAAAUUUAAGUUUGAAGGGUAUACUUCCGAACAUUUUUAACAAUGUAAGUAUAGAAUAAACAAUUCCAGUAACAAAACGAUGUCUUCUAGUAGUGUAUGUAAGAAUAAGAUCGCUCGG